RNAcentral lists this transfer RNA (87 nucleotides) under Candidatus Zhuqueibacterota bacterium. RNAcentral's name for it is "candidate division KSB1 bacterium tRNA-Ser". It matches the Rfam family "tRNA". From Rfam's summary of the family: Transfer RNA (tRNA) molecules are approximately 80 nucleotides in length. Their secondary structure includes four short double-helical elements and three loops (D, anti-codon, and T loops). Further hydrogen bonds mediate the characteristic L-shaped molecular structure. tRNAs have two regions of fundamental functional importance: the anti-codon, which is responsible for specific mRNA codon recognition, and the 3' end, to which the tRNAs corresponding amino acid is attached (by aminoacyl-tRNA synthetases). tRNAs cope with the degeneracy of the genetic code in two manners: having more than one tRNA (with a specific anti-codon) for a particular amino acid; and 'wobble' base-pairing, i.e. permitting non-standard base-pairing at the 3rd anti-codon position. The record is from RNAcentral. Lineage: Bacteria; Pseudomonadati.
GGAGAGGUGCCAGAGUGGUCGAAUGGGGCGGCCUGCUAAGCCGUUGUAGAUGUAUGUCUACCCAGGGUUCGAAUCCCUGUCUCUCCG